Rattus norvegicus (Norway rat) is the source of this 1408-nucleotide non-coding RNA. The record is from RefSeq and is a predicted model, not a curated record. NCBI's taxonomy places the organism in Eukaryota, Metazoa, Chordata, Mammalia, Rodentia, Muridae.
GAUUUAGCUCAGUGGUAGAGCACUUGCCUAGUAAGCCCAAGGCCCUGGGUUCAGUUCUCAGCUUCGAAAAAAAAAAAUAAUAAUAAAAUAAAACAAGCAGGAACAAAGCUGGGUGUGUUGGCUCAGCUGGCUUCAUCCCCGCACUCUGAAGUCAGAGCAGGCAAAUCUCUGAGGUCUCCGGGUUAGUCAGAGUUACACAGGGAGACCGUGUUUCAAAAAAAAAAAAAAAAAAAAGGGCAAGGACAGUCCUCUUUGUUAAAUCUGCACGUUACCUUGACUCUGUACCCUACCUCUACACGCCCUUCAUAGGGCUGAAUCACUGGAUGAGCCUUGCCAUGAUCCUUUUGAUGCUGGGAACUGUGGUGGUUUGGAUAGGAACAGCCCCCACAGACUCCCAAUGCUUGGCCCACAGGGAAUCGUCCUAUGAGGAGGUGUGGCUUUUUGGAGUAGGUGUGGCCUUGCUGGAGGAAGUGAGUCACUGUGAGGGCGGGCUUUGAGGUCUCAGAAGUUCCAAUCAGUUCUCUUUCUGCUGCCUACAGAUCCGGAUGUAGAACUCUCUGUUCCUUCUAAAGCACAGCGGCUCCUUGCACGCUACCCUGAAUGUUUCCUGCUAUGAUGAUAAUGGACUGAACCUCUGAUCCUUACAAAUAUCUGAUAUGCAGGAGAUCUGAUCCUGUGAGUGUCUCGCCACACAGACUGAGAACUGCUGCUGUAGAAGUGAGCAGGGCACGUAGCCGCUGAAGGCUAAGGUGGAGGAUGCUCCACUCAGAGACACGGGCCUGCUUUCCUGUCUACCGUCCCCUUGGAUUGCUCAGAUUGGCUGGAUGAAACGAUGUAGAUAUGCCUGACCAUGAGACCACCGACCUGAUUAGCGUUCACUGCCAGCUUCACGCAGCUUACUUCAGACCCAGCGCUUUUCAGGAUGAUCUGAUCCAUCUGCCCCUGCACAAGAUGGCCAAGCAGGGACGAUGAGGAACCACAGGACCAUGAGGGCCACAGAGACUCUGAAGAAAUGUCUGAUGAAACAGCGCAUUGUGUCUGCUGGGGUCGGGCUCCUACAGCAAGAGAUAAAGAAGGCCACUUGUCCUCUGAUGACAUUUGCUGCCACUCUUCCUACAUUUGUUUGGAGUUCCAACUCUCCCAGAGUUUCCCCUGCUCAGAACGGCUUUUUGUCAUGUGAGUGAUUCACUUGUGAACUUCUGUAUAAGAUACCCAGAGGGCUGGAGAGAUGGCUCAGCGGUUAAGAGCACUGACUGUUCUUCCAGAGGACCUGAGUUCAAAUCCCAGCAACCACAUAGGGGCUCACAACCAUCUGUGAUGAGAACUGAUGCCCUCUUCUGGUGUGUCUGAAGACAGCUACAGUGCACUCAUAUAAAUAAAAUAAAUAAAUCUUUAAAAAAAAAAAAAA